GAUGAAGAACGCAGCGAAAUGCGAUAAGUAGUGUGAAUUGCAGAAUUCAGUGAAUCAUCGAAUCUUUGAACGCACAUUGCGCCCCUUGGUAUCCCGAGGGGCAUGCCUGUUCGAGCGUCAUUUCACCACUCAAGCCCUCGGGUUUGGUGUUGGGGAUCGGCGAGCCUUUCUGGCAAGCCGGCCCCGAAAUCUAGUGGCGGUCUCGCUGCAGCCUCCAUUGCGUAGUAGUAAAACCCUCGCAACUGGAACGCGGCGCGGCCAAGCCGUUAAACCCCCAACUUCUGAAUGUUGACCUCGGAUCAGGUAGGAAUACCCGCUGAACUUAAGCAUAUCAAUAAGCGGAGGA
RNAcentral lists this unclassified non-coding RNA (346 nucleotides) under soil metagenome. RNAcentral's name for it is "partial contains 5.8S ribosomal RNA, internal transcribed spacer 2, and large subunit ribosomal RNA". The stretch from base 1 to 120 matches the Rfam family "5.8S ribosomal RNA", at positions 35 to 154 of the family's 154-position model. The record is from RNAcentral.